UUUAGCUAAUGUUUGGCAUUUUAUGACUUGUUUGUAGACCUUGGGCAGCCAGAAUUGUAGGUUGGAUUUAUCUUGAGUUUGGAUUAUAUUGGAGAGCGUUUGAGGUACAGACGCACAGCCUGGUGAUCCACCUGUUUAGGACACCCCCUUCUGCUAUUCGGAGUGCUCCUCUCAUUCCGGAGCUUAUAUUUUUGGUAUAUAUUUGUUAGUGCAUUUGUAUAUAUUCGUUCAUGGGUACGGCGGGGCCCUGUCCCGUCAUAUGAUUCUGUCUGUCUGUUACCUUUCUUUUAGAGCUGUGGACAUGUUUGUGGGUUAGGGUCUUUCUGUACGGAUGCGUGUGUAUAUGUUGUGUUUGGGCGAUCCCAUUCGUCGCGGCGGCCGGUCCGCAUAUGUUUACAUGUUGCUUUGUUGGCCCUGUGUGGCCUUUGUUGGUAUUUUCUGUGCGCAGGGUUAUUUUGGAUAGUCUGUAAAACAAAGGAAACUCUGCCGAAAUUUUUCUGGAAAGUAUCUAAAUUUGAAA
Molecule: long non-coding RNA, 520 nt
Organism: Lycium ferocissimum
Lineage: Eukaryota; Viridiplantae; Streptophyta; Magnoliopsida; Solanales; Solanaceae
Exons: 2
Source: RefSeq, a predicted model, not a curated record